RNAcentral lists this non-coding RNA (19 nucleotides) under Mus musculus (house mouse). The record is from RNAcentral. Lineage: Eukaryota; Metazoa; Chordata; Mammalia; Rodentia; Muridae.
AGUGGUGAUGACACUAGAA